RNAcentral lists this transfer RNA (75 nucleotides) under Oscillospiraceae bacterium. RNAcentral's name for it is "tRNA-Arg". It matches the Rfam family "tRNA". Rfam says of the family: Transfer RNA (tRNA) molecules are approximately 80 nucleotides in length. The record is from RNAcentral. Lineage: Bacteria; Bacillati; Bacillota; Clostridia; Eubacteriales; Oscillospiraceae.
GCCCUCAUAGUUAAAUGGAUAUAACAGUCCCCUCCUAAGGGACAGUUACAGGUUCGAUUCCCGUUGAGGGUGCCA